Molecule: long non-coding RNA, 1208 nt
Organism: Bombyx mori (domestic silkworm)
Lineage: Eukaryota; Metazoa; Arthropoda; Insecta; Lepidoptera; Bombycidae
Exons: 5
Source: RefSeq, a predicted model, not a curated record
CUUGCGAUUCUCUAAAAGUCAAACAAGAACUCGCAUCUCACUACGAAAUUCUCCAUCACUUCGCAUUCGCAAUAGAAUGACCUUGAAUUGGCAUUCUGUAAACACUAAUCUUAAUUACCCUGCCUCGAGCGAAGUGAAGUGACAACGAAGUUUGUUUAUACUACUACUAGGGAUAGCCGUUAACACGCAAAUGUAAAUCGAAGCUUACCGGUUUCAGUUUUUCGUUGUAUUUAUAAGCAUUCUGUAAGAAAAUACUAUGAAUUUAAGCUUUGGUGUUAAAGCCACAUCUAAUUUAACUAAAAAGAAAAUUAAAAGUCAUAUAUUUAUGAUAUUAAUUGUAAUUUCUGGCUGCACGCUAAGUUCCUUUGCGUGCACUAGCGAAUACCAGAAUUAAAAAACAAAAUUUUAAUUGUUUUCAAAACAAUCUCGAGCGGUCGGAAGUUUUUAUUUUACUUUUUCUAGAUUUUUUGUUACUUUGUGAGUAAAUUUAACGUUAAAUAAAAAUUAUGAGAUUUAACGAGCGUUCUUCUCAUCCGACAUUGGUGCAAAUAGAGGCAUUGAUAGACGUUUUGGAUUAAAAGCUAGCGAAACAAAAGGUUUAAUCGUAUCUCAACAUGUUCAAUAAGAGAACAAGGAUAUCAAAAAAAUAUAGGAACUAAAUUCUCUUGUCAGAUAUGAUCCAUUCCCGGAACUACAACAGAUUGAAAAUACUAAUCCACAUCAGAAUAUUGUAAGGAGAAUUUAUUGCUAACUCGGAAAAUGUAUCAGUAUUGGAACAAUCCCAAUGUAUAUCAUUGCAUCAAGAAUCACCUAUUUUGCAGUCAUCCUCCCCUAACUAAAUGCAAGUGACUUAUACUUAUUGUGAUGCUACUACUAGUAGCUCCAGCCACAGUAGGUCUCAUGUUAGUCAAGAGAUUGGGUUGUUAGCACCUCAACACCUGACCUGCUAUUUUACCACUUUUCAAUGAAAAGCAGAGUGUACUCAAAUUACAACAAAUUACACAGUACCAGGAUAUAUAACUUAAACAACCAUGGGGGAAUAAAUAGUCGACAGUCUGCAAGAAGGAUGAACUGUUGGUGGAAUUAGCAUAUGCAGCUAGGAAUUUUAAACCUGUAUUUCCACAUAUUACUGAUGCAAACAAAUUUCAAAAUUAUUGUAUAUAACUAUUGAAUAAAACUAUAAUAAAACUAUUUUUAUAAAUCAUUAA